CUGAAUUUCCUACGCCCCCAAACUCCAAGCACAGUGAGUACACAUGUGCACCGAAUUACAAGUGGCGCCUUCAGUUCCUGCUUCCAGAAGGAACCAGUCCUGGGAGAGGACAGCCAGGUCUCGCAGGACAUGGAAACAGGAGGCAAGAGGAAAGAGGUCCUGGGGCCAAGUGGCUGCGAGCCGGCCCCAGUCCAGCGCGCGGUAGAUGGCAAAGCCCAGCGACUGCACCAUCUGCAGGACGGGGCCGGAGAGUCGGCGGGGCGUGGGGGGCCCCCCGCAAGGGACCCAGCCAGGAGAGGGGCCGCCGCCCCGCCGGAGCACAGCGCGACAGCCAGCGGCCCGGCCGGAGGCCCCCGGAGGCCCUGCCACAAGCCAGCCGGACACGUCCGGAGCCGGCAGGACGCCUCCCAACCCGCGCGGCCGCCGUGGACAGCAGUUCAGCAGGCUCUCGGGGCCAAACGUGCUUUUACCGCGUGAAGUGAGGGCAACGCCCUCCCGAGUACCUAACCCAGAGAGAGGGAAGACGUGCGCCCACAGGGACUCGUCGGGAACGCCCAGAGCGCGCACACCUGCGAUGUCCAAAUGUCUUCAACGGGGACACGGAACACAAAGGUGACCCAUCCUUCCCGUGGGAUGCCAGGCUGCCAAGACCAAACUCAGGAACCCCCUUACACACAGACAGAACCCAGAGCCACAAAGCCAGACUACAUGCUUCCAUUCAUACAAAACCCUAGGCAAGAUGAAGCCAAUCUACAGCCGUAAAAAGCAGGUCACUGAUCAUAAAGCAUAUCCCAAUAAAUGUGAUUUAAAAAUACAGAUAACCGAAUCAAACAUUGGCUUUUAAAGUGACAUAAGAGUGUUUUAAAUCAGAGGAGAGAGACUAGCGUGCUAGAAUUGUUAACUACAUGGGAUACGGUACAGACACCUGAACUCAUAAAAAUUGACAUCCUCUCCCUUAAAAAAUACUGUAAACUCCAUGCAAAUUUCAACAUACAUAAAUUUAAUCUGGAAAAGAAGAAAAGUGAAGAAGCAAUGGCACCUGUGUGGGGGCUUGCCCAGGGACCAGGAGCUGUGGGCACCCAGCCAGGAAACCCUAUUUUCAUAGACUACCGUUAACCACUGGGACUCUGCCUUCUCCGGGGGGGCAUCUGCAGACCCCGCCACUCCAUUCGUGGCUCUGUCCAGUGGCCAUCGGCUCCUGGCAUGGGCUGCUCACAGGACUGCAGUCCUGGAAAGGUCAGGGCUGCUCGCACAGGGAAGAACCACGUGCCAUGUGCAGUGACGGGUGAGGACGACCACAGGGGUGCUGCUUCUAGCCUGCCUGACUUUCAUAUUUUGACAUUUCUCCUUUAUGACAAUGAUGCAGAAUGACCAUAGCUCUUCUUAUGUCAUCAGCUACACAGAGCCCUUGGCUACUUAACUCUAGGACAACCUAACCUGAGACCUAGGUCUCUAGGCAGAGCCACGGAGCCACGGAGCCAUGGAGUCAUGUGACCACAGCUGGCAGCCGGCGGAGCUGGACUUGGGACCCACGUCUGUCCCCAGCCUGGGCUCUAAGCCUUGCCCAAGACAGGAGGGAGCCACACCCUCACCUUCCACCCCGAGUCUGAGUCUGCCUAGCCUGAGGGAGUGGGGAGGCCUCUGGCCUCUCCUCUUGUUUCCCACACCUGCAGCCCAAGGGGACUGGCUUGAGCAGAGCUGAAGGACAUGGGGAGAGUCAGUGUUGGGCAGGGGACAGGCACAAGACAGCCUUCUCUAUCCCGCAGAAAUACCUCAGAGCACACCCUGGCCAGUGUGGGGAGAGGGCCUCCAACAGAGCCAAGUUCCAGUCUACAAAACCCCAGUCCACCCUUGGAGGUGGUCUUCUCUCUGCUUAGCCGGGCAAGAAUCACAAGCCUAAGUCAUGAGUCAGAGGGCAAAAGACCAGGGCCAGGCGGAGUCCCCUAUGGCAGUGGGACCCCCAUCAGGACUACUGGGCUGGCAAGAACCACAGGUCACACAAAUUCCCAUCGAUUCUUUCUUGGCCAGAGGUAGAGGUCAGAAAGGAGAUUGUGGGAGAGAUUCGUGUCCAUUCUCUACGCCACGGCCACUGCUGACUCAGGCGUGGCUGUGACCUGGUCUCUCCAUCAGAGACCACUCUACAACCCGGGGCAGACAGAGGGGCCCUGUAGGCCAGCCCCUGUUCCAGUGCAGCACCACAACCCACCAUGCCUCUCCCUCUUGCUCCUGGGAGCUGGCCUGAGCCAGUACCACGUCAGUUGAAGGGUUAACCCAACAGGAGCCUCUCAUCCGACAGCUGCUCUGUUAAAAGCUUCCCUGUGUUCCAGCCCAGACACUGGAAACCGCCCGAAAGGCAGAGAGCUCUUGCUUUCCCGUCAGGAACAAUCUGGGCAGCCAGCCAGGGUCUGAGAGCCUCCAGGCCUACCUGCCCACAGCGUUUUGGGAACUGAGCAGGCUCCCAACAGGCCAGCUGGGGCGAAUAGCCUGCUAACUGAGGGGCUUGGAGAGAGAAGGGACCGGGACUGCAGGACAGCGUGCACAGGAGGCUGGUAGCCGGAAUCUGGGUUAGCACAGCAAGUGGCCCCCUACAGUAGUUUCUGGAGUGGGGCUCCGGGGUUAGUCUGUAAGAGCGCAGACUGGACCCCCACAAACAAGGCUCCUUGUAAAUAUCAUCAGAACUGCUAAGAGAUCUCCUUUGGGGCGGCAGGUGGCCACGGCACAUUCAUGUGGGGACUCUGGGUAACAGGGGCCACCCUGGGAUCACUGUCUGAACGGCAGGGGACUGUUCCUGGGCUUUGGAUAAACAAAGUCUCCAGAGUACUCUGCCGGCCGCGGCAAUGCUGUCUUAUUCCCAGACCCAGCUACGGAAGCAACAUGGUCUGAGAGCCUCACCACGGAGGCAGUGUGCCACUGGGAAGUGUGUCUUAUCACUGACAGCAGCAAGAUUGUCAGCAUGUGCUGGGAAGAAAAAGCAGGAAAACUCUGGGAUGAUUCUAUUAUCGUUUUGCAAUUCUCCACGACAGACUAUAUGGCCUCUUUGCCGUGACCAGCCCCCCACCCUUGGUAUAAUGCUGUGUUCGGUACAUAAACACACAUUUGUCUAAAGCUUUCUUAAAGGCAGUAGAACGAUCCACAUUAAAUUCAGGACAAACUCCCGGAGGGUAGAGGUUCAGGGAGGCACUGGUCCUGCUGGUGAGGUCUGAAUUGUGGGCGGGGUGGACCGCAGUCACCGGCUGGUUUUCCUGCUUGCCCCUCAGACCCACGCCCUGACUGACCUUCUGCGUCCACAGACCACAGCACCUUUGCUCCCUCCCUCUGGUCCGUGGGAGGCAACACCAGCAGCUUGGGGGCAGAAUAGGAGAGGGAGGUAGGGUACCAUCGCCCACCCCUGCCCUUCAGGCCCUCCAAGGCCUGCCAGGUUCCACACUGACCAGUGGGCUCUGUCCUCACCUGCCUGUUCUCUUCAUCAAGUCCUUUCAAUGAAGCCCUUUGAGUAUUUUGUCUGUGUCCUACCUCAUGGAAACAAUUUUGUAACUUUAUAUGCUAUCUAAUUCACAUAAUAUGAGACAUAUUACUUUUAAUGCGUAUCAAGUAAAUUAAAAAAUUAUUUUAAAGGUACCUGGGCUUCUGAGCUGGCUGCUGACAACACCAUCGUUGUGGAAUCUGCAAGAGGAGACAACAGGCAGUCAAGACACACCCCAGCAACCCCAGGCCCUGGCAAAUAGGGCCGUCCACCCACCUGGUCUCCCAGGAAUACACAGUGUAUCCCAGAAAGCUUAAACGGGUCGAGCAGCCAGUCAUUUGGAAUGGACAUGCAGCGGCAGGAGACUCAGCCCCUGCCCACACCCUGCACAGCAGUCACACCCCAAUGGGACCCCUCAGAAGGGAGCAGCCAACAGGCUUCCCUG
Molecule: long non-coding RNA, 3908 nt
Organism: Mustela erminea (ermine)
Lineage: Eukaryota; Metazoa; Chordata; Mammalia; Carnivora; Mustelidae
Exons: 3
Source: RefSeq, a predicted model, not a curated record